This 171-nucleotide non-coding RNA is filed under the name Fragilariopsis kerguelensis. The record is from RNAcentral. Lineage: Eukaryota; Bacillariophyta; Bacillariophyceae; Bacillariales; Bacillariaceae.
AGAAAGAAAGAGAGAGAGAGAGAGAUUGUCGCGAUAGAAAAAGAAACCGGUGAUUUCAAACAUUCAUUUUGUACGUACCCAAAAUAGACGUGUCAUUCUGUUUUCUCUUCCUUUUUUCUCUUCCUAGUCUAUCUCAUCAUCAUAGAACUGAUCUGACGUACGGUGUGUAGA